This is a long non-coding RNA of Xiphias gladius (swordfish), 4106 nucleotides long. RefSeq lists it as uncharacterized. The transcript is spliced from 3 exons. The record is from RefSeq and is a predicted model, not a curated record. Lineage: Eukaryota; Metazoa; Chordata; Actinopteri; Istiophoriformes; Xiphiidae.
AAGAUACUGAACCUCAAAUUGCCCCCGAUGUAUCAUCGGUGUGUGGCGUUUGCAGUGAAUCUCAACCUCCUCAUUCAUUGGGUGAAGUAGGAGAACGCUCCUACAGCAAAAGAUGAUUAAAGGUUCAAGGAGGGUGUCAAACUCUUGGUUUCCUUGAGGAGCCUAGGGGUCACCCUGAAAUCUUUGAGGCCAUGCUCACUAAUGUACCGAAACCACUGGAGGCAAAAGACUUGUCCAAUUUGUUUUAAAUUGACUCCUCAGCCCCUGGAAGUAAAAAAACAUCUGGAAAAUCAGAACAUCUGUUUCUGGAGGGAUGGUGUAUUGAUGAUGAGGGUAUGAUAUUUUAAUAUCCUAUAUUUUUUUUUAAUGCCCUCUUGCUCUUUGAGGUACAUAUAAAUUACAUAAGUCUUUGUGUUUUUGGGUGGACCACUGGGCCAGGAGUUGGGGUGGGUAGGUCUGUCUGUCUGUCGAUUAUUUGUAUCACUUCUAUAUCAUUGUGCAAUCACAGUUGCGCUAAUAUGCCACAAGGUAGCGUUAGGUAUGUCGAACCGCUACUUGAAAAUAGUCUCACACAUCUAUUGGAAGAUUGUUUGGAACCUAUUUUUCAUUUUGGACCCAGACGAUGAUUCAGACACAGCAGUUGUAGGUGUAAAAUGUGAAUUUAUUAAGAAAGCAGUUUCAUGGAAGAUUGAGAGGAGCACUGGUAAUGGUAGGGGACAGGCAGGUGGAGGAGUAGAGGGAAUGGCGGAGUCCAGCUAGAGGUUAGUUGCAGCUGAAGAGAGGCUGGAGGAUAUGUGGAGGACAUGUGGGUGGCAAUGGCUGGGCAGUAGAUCUGGCACAAGAGGCAAGCAGGUUAGCGAGAGGUAUUAAGAGUAACACAAGAAAAAGAACUCUAGAAUGUGUAUGGCCUCCACUGAACAAGCUGAACAGUCUGGCAAUGAAUGGAAGGCGAGUAGGAGUACUCGAACUGAGGGUUGUUGAGCUGAUUGGAAUCAGGAAUUGAUGUCUGCAGUCUUGAUUUAACAUACAGGCCAAUUACUUAAAAGGCACAUGUUUCUGUCUGUGCCAUACGCUGUUGGGAUGCUGAACUUGGUACACCCUUCUGGUCAUGGUACUACUCCACCUGCGUACAGCUGCAAUAGGAUUUAUCUCGGUCAACACGUCAUGUACCCUGAAUUGUGUAACCAACAGCCCCUCAGCAUGCAAAAAUCCUCUGUCUUAAGAGUAAAUCAAAAACCUAACCAAAAAUAUUUGCUGCUAAUUCUAUUUGCAAGACAAAUUAAAACAACAUUUUUAUAGUUCAUGGGAACAUAUGAUGAUGAAGUCAAUGACCGUGAACUCUUGUAAUUUGUUGAAUGAGGUCCUCAUCUCUCACUGGCAGAAGUCUCAACCAAACAUGCCAGCUAUUUGCUUGUGUGUCUAACUCUAUUGCCCUAAAAUAUCAGUGGCUAGUCCGCCACAGACUCCUGAAAAAUAAGCAACAAACAGGAUUAAACAAAAUACUUCUAAAUAUAUGUAAGUGCUAUGAGAAGGUAACCAGACUUCCUUGAAGUUCUUGAAGUCGUUUCGCCUCUCAUCCGAAAGGCUUCUUUGGUUCUACCUGAAUAGUGUGGAGUUCCAGGUAAAUAUCCUCUGGUGAGAUCAGCAACAAAAGUGAGUUGUUGUGGUCACAUGAGUCGUUUACCCUCCUGGUCAUCAUUUGAGUUGUUAGGAUGACAUGGGUCAAGGUGUGGAUGGGUGCUAACACCUUGAGGGUCGUUAGGGUGACAAGUGAGUCGUUGACCCCCCAUGCCAUCAUGUGAGUUGUUGAGGUUACAUGAGUCCUGGUGUGGAUGGGUGUUCAGCUUUCUGGGGAGUGAUGUUAGAACUGCAUUGUCGGUGGCUGACAGUGGGUGUCUCAGACCACUUCCUCUGUUUAGUGACGGUUGUUCCACAUUGACAAAAAUGGCUUCUUUCACUCCUCUUUCAAACCAUCGGUCUUCUCUGGCCAAAAUGUGUACAUCACUGUCCUGAAAAGAGUGUCCUUUGUCCUUAAGAUGCAGGUGGACUGCUGAGUCCUGACCUGAGGAAGUGGCUCUCCUAUGUUGUGCCCUGCACUUAUGAAGUGGUUGUUUAGUUUCCCCAAUGUACAAGUCUGUGCAUUCCUCGCCUCAUUGGACUGCAUAAAUUACAUUGUUCUGCUUGUGCCUGGGUAUUUUGUCCUUAGGGUGGACACGUUUUUGUGUGUUACUGAGCUUGAAAAGCACAGGGAUGUUAUGUUAGUAGAGCAUCCUCCUGAGUUUUUCAGACAAUCCAGCAACGUAGGGAAUGACAAUGCUGUUUUGUUUAUUGCAGUUUUCUUCUUUGUCUGUUCUGCCUCUUUUUGUGGUUUGACAAAGGCCCAGUUGGGAUAACCACAAGUUCUAAGUGCUUCCUUGAUGUGUUAAUGUUCCUUCUCUUUCCCCUCUGACCUUGAGGGAACAUUUUGAGCCCAAUGGUGUAGGGUUCUGAUGACCCCCAGUUUGUGCUCCAGUGGGUGGUGAGAGUCAAACAGUAGGUAUUGAACUGUGCACAUCAUGUUUUCAGAGUGGCUAGGCCUAACUGAAGGGUUCAUGUAAACGUAUAGUGUAAAAAGUGUAAUUACUUUUGAAAAGUACUUGUACAUUACCAAACAGAAAACCUCUUGGUAACAUGCUGUAAUCAACCACCUAGCAUGCAAAUUAAGCAUAAUGUACAUUUUCAUCACUUUAAAUGAAUAAAUUCAACAAUAUAAUCAUGUUACUUUCAACACAUUGUUGUUCUUGAUUACUCAUUGUCCUGUUUCAUUUAGUGCUGUUCAUGUGUUAAUUUUACCAAACUGUAUUUUAUAGGAAGUAGAAGUGGAUUCUGUCAGAUGAAAUGUAAAAGGCAUUUUAAUUUAAAAAGGUUAUAGUAAGUAUUGAGUUUGCAUUAACAGCAUAAUGCUGUUACUUAUGGUGAUAUUACCCAAAUUCUCGAAUUCACUAGUUAUUUUACAAAGACAGUAAUGAAGUUUUAUUUAACAAGCUAGAUUAGCACAUCCAGUUUAGGAUACAUAAACCCCUGGUUAAAAAGUUUUUGACUCGCUAAUCCAACACUUACCUGAACAUACUCGACCAACAGAGAAGGCCACUGGGGCAUCUUGUUGCAAAUGAAAAAUAAUUUCUCUGAUCCCCAAAAGGCUAUCUCAUAAUUCAUUUGCCGUCUCUGUAGAAAAUUGGUCAGCAUGGCGCAUAGUUACCUCUGACCGCAUACACCUAGUUUAUAUACCUGUUAAAUGACAAAACAUUUGGGCAGGAUUUUAAUAAUCACUUGUUCCACCAUGUUCAACUUCUUAAACUCCAAAAAAAAAAUAUUGCGCCAGUGUUUCCACCAGAAAUCAUACGUUUUCAAAAAGCCUUACCAUUUGUUGAAUCGCCAAAACAUAGGCAUAACCGUCUUGAAAGUCAACCAAUGGCUUUGUGGUACUUUAAUGAUAUGUACCCUACAUAUCCAAAAUGGUUUUUCAGGAAAAAAAUUUGCAAAUUAGGGUGACAUAUCCAAAAUGGUUUGUUGAUAUGUUGGAUAUAUCAGAAAUUGCAACUGUUGAUAUCUGAAAUGGGAAAUUACAUUUCCACCUGUCACAAUCCUUUUUCAACAUGUGAAAAUUCAAUUAGAUAUCUGUAAUCAUUAUUCUUGCUAGUGACAAACUGAUAUCAGACUUAUUGAUAUCAAUAAUUAAAUUAAGAUAUCUGUAAAUCAGAUUUUGACUACUUGAAAUUUAAUUUCUACAUGCAAAAAAAUAUAUUUUAACAUGUCAAAAUUGUUUUACAGAUAUCUUAAAGUAACAUUUCAACAUGUUAUAAUCACAUUUUGACAUGUUGAAAUGUAAUUUCUACUAGUGAAAACUAAAUCACUGCUAAUCGGCCCUACUUAUUAAAUGUUAAAAUGGCUUGUGAUACUUUUUCUCCUAUUACUGUAUUUGCUAGCUUCUGUUCUACUCAGCUGUAGAAAGCUUUGCCUAAGGAUAUAAGACAGGCAAACUUGGAAUCAUCUUUUAAAUCUCCUCUUAAAACUCACUUUUAUCUAAUGGCUUUUUCUUAACUGAUUAUAUUUGUUGUAAUUGUUUU